GAAGCCCGAAAAAGCUAGCAAGAGAACUGGCCUAAAGCUGAGCGACCGCUCCAUGCUCCACCCCACGAGUCACGACUCAUCCACUCAUCCCCUUCUCCGUCUGCGCCCCUCCCUCACCCUCUCGUCCAUGACCUGAAUCCUAAGUGCGCGGCGGCGGCAGAUCCUCUCCUCCGUGGCCCCUCCCCGGCGAAGCAAGCGACGCCACAUCAUUCCUCUUGACAUCAAGUUUUGUCUUUUACGGCAACAUCGGCCAUAGGUUCGCCGCGACUGCCACUGUGGGCACUGAUGGAAGCUAGCUCCACUCUUAGGUAUGCCGCCGCAUCUAUCGUCGUUCUGUCCACCUUCUUCCCUAUCUUCCCUACUUCUACGGUUGCGGAUGCAGAUUUUUGACAUCGAUGACAAAGGAGACGAGAAAAACUCGAGGCCGCGCUUGGAAUCCGUGGUACUAGGGUUCAGUAAAAGAGGAGCACGCGAUGCUGUUAUGGCCAUGUUUACGUAGUUUCUACCGUUUUUAGAAUUGUUGAUUCCUUCGUGCCGCCGCUGGCAAUACGCAACUCAUAUGGCGAGAUCGACACUACAAGUUCCUGGAAUCAAUUUUGCAAGGACAAAAAAAUCAAAUAAAAAUACAUCGCGAAGUUUCAGAAGGAUACAAAGUUGGGAUCAGCUGAGAUAGUGAGAGAGGUGCCCUAGGGGCCCCAGGCGGCGAUCCCAUGAGGUCAACCCAUAGGCCACGAGGUGGGUUCCUGGAGGCACAUCUCCACUGCCUCGCAGAGCAGACGCCUUUAUAUUUCCCCCAGAAUUUAAGUUUUAUUUAUUGAGGAAUAUUCCGUCGCUACCACCUCUCUAUUCCGUGAAGAUCCAAUCUGGAGGCCUUUUUUGGCACUCUCCCGGAGGGGCGAUCCAUCGCUGGAGCCAUCUUCGUAAACCUCGCUGCCACCAUGACCAUGUAUAUAUCAAAGGAGGGAGAUUGCCCGCACCUGGAAAUCUGACCUGAAACAAUGACAACAGAGAUAGCAAUUCUCCGGAGCUCAAAUUGACGUGAAAUUUUACGGAGACUUGGAAUAGAUAAAAAAUACUGAAGCAAAAAUUACGCUAGAGGGGUGAUGCGCCUUGAAACUACGUCGGUAUUUUCCCAAAGAGGAAGGGAUGAUGCAGUACAACUAAGGUAGGUAUUUCCCUCAGUUAUGAAACCAAGGUAUCAAUCUAGUAGGAGAACCAAGAAACACUAUGUAAACGGUACCUGCACACAAAGAACAAAUCCUCGCAACCCAACGCGUAAGAGCGGUUGUCAAUCUCUCAUCGGUAAAAAGAUAGAUUGGUUUGUAUGUGUUUGGAUAAAUAGAUCUGAAUAAAAUGUGAAA
Aegilops tauschii subsp. strangulata is the source of this 1361-nucleotide long non-coding RNA. RefSeq lists it as uncharacterized. Lineage: Eukaryota; Viridiplantae; Streptophyta; Magnoliopsida; Poales; Poaceae. The record is from RefSeq and is a predicted model, not a curated record.